AGAGCUUUUCUAUCUUUUUCUCAUGGGAAGAAAACAAACAAAAAAAAAAACCGAAAUAUUUACAUUCCCCAGAGGGUCUCGGUGAGCUCGGUCGAGUCCCAUCCCCAUAUCUGGCCACGCAAAGCCAGAAAACCUUCCCACUUCCGAAAUGUCUGGGGAAUCGCCCCGCACGGCAGCACUCUCCAUCCUCCCCUUUGGGCGGCUGUCGCGACAGACGCGAUGUCGGGACGGAGGGGCGCACGGGGCGGCCGGACAGCCCCAGCCGCGGUCCCCGGGCGCGCAGCGCAGCGCGGCGCGGAGCGUUUUUCUAAUGCCAACCCCUGGAUGCGCUCGGCGUUUCAAAGGCCUCUGAGAGGAGACCUCUGAGGGAGAGAGGAGAGUGGUUCGGAGGAGAGGACGAAUGGAUUCCUGAGGGAAACAUCUCAUGGUGCUCUUUGGUGGACCAAGAAGUGGACCUUCCAGUGGGCGUCCUGGGGAGGAGAGGAGCGGUGUCGGUCUGCAUUCUCCCAUGACAAAGGGGAACUGCUCGUUUAUUUGCCCUCUCCGGGGAGGGAAUAAACCCGAGGAGGUGACGCUUUGUGCUGAGCCACUGGUCUGUCC
RNAcentral lists this long non-coding RNA (600 nucleotides) under Gallus gallus (chicken). RNAcentral describes it as "lncRNA (ENSGALG00010018844.1)". The record is from RNAcentral. Lineage: Eukaryota; Metazoa; Chordata; Aves; Galliformes; Phasianidae.